Molecule: long non-coding RNA, 3186 nt
Organism: Mus musculus (house mouse)
Lineage: Eukaryota; Metazoa; Chordata; Mammalia; Rodentia; Muridae
Product: predicted gene, 36522
Exons: 5
Source: RefSeq, a predicted model, not a curated record
CAGAAAUCCGCCUGCCUCUGCCUCCCGAGUGCUGGGAUUAAAGGCGUGGGCCACCACGCCCAGUCCUGUAUCCACUCUUUUAACCCACUCUUUCCUCCAUCACCCUGUUUGAUGUUCCCAUUCUAGUCACUCCAUUCCCUCUCCCUGUCUAUUUAUAACUGUCUGUUUUACUUCCCCUUCCUUGGAAGUUCCCUCCUUUCCCCAUAAUUCCUUAUUUUAUACAUAGUUUCUAUGGUUAUACUGAUGGUAGUCUGUUUACCAAAGACUUAACAGUAUUUACUUAUAAGCAAAUACAUACCAUAUUUGGAAAUGUACCACAUUUUCUUUAUCCAUUCAUUUGUUUUCAAUUUCUGGCUAUUAUGAAUAUAACAGCAAUGGAUAUGAUUGAACAAGUGUCAUUGUGGUAAAUAUUCUUUGGGUUUAUCCAAUAGUGAUAUAGUUGUAUCUUGAGGGAGAUCAAUUUCCAUCUUCCUGAGGAACCAUCACACCGAUUUCCAUAGUGGUUGUACAAGUUUGCAGUUCCACCAGCAAUGGAGGAGUGUUCCCUAUACUCUACAUCUUCACCAGCAUGAGCUGUCAUUUCAUUUAUUGAUUUGUGCCUUCCUGAUUGGUGUAAUAUUGUAAGAUGGAAUCUCAGAGUAGUUUUGAUCUGCAUUUUCCUGAUGGCUAGGGAUAAUGAACAUUUUUUAUUUCUCAGCCUUUUGAGUUUCCUAUUCUGAGAAUAUAUACUUCAUAUUUUAAUUUGGUUAUUUGAUUUUGGAUAUCUAGGUUUUUGAAUUCUUUAUGUAUUUUAUAUAUUAGCUCUCUAUCAGAUGUGCAGUUAGUAAAAAUCCUUUUCCCAUUUAUAGCCUGCCAUUUUGUCCUAUGGACAGUAUCCUUUGCCAUAUAGAAACUUUUUGGUUCCAUGAGGUCUCAUUUAUGAGUUGUUGAUCUUAGUGCCUGUGCUAUUGGUACUUUGUUCAGAAUGUCAUAUCCUGUGUUAGUGAAUUCAAAGAUAUUCCCCAGUUUCUCCUCUACCAGCUUCAGUGUAUCUGGUUCUAUGUUGAAGUCUUUGAUCCAUUUGGAGUUUCAUUGAAGAUGAUACACGUGGAUCUAUUUGCAUUCUUCUACAUGCACCAUGAAGUUAGAUCAGCUCCAUCUGCCGAAGUGUAUGUGUUUUUCCAUAUGAAGGCAAAAAGAAUGUCCUUUCAAGUUCUGUGAAGAAUUGUGUUGGAAUUUUGAUGAAGAUUGCAUUGAAUCUGUAGGUUGCUCUUGGUAGAAUAACCAUUUUUCCUACCAAUCUAUGAACAUGGGAAAUGUUUUCAUCUUCUGAUAUCUUCUUCAAUUUCUUUCUUCUAUGUCUUAAAGUCUUUAUUAUGGAUGGCAUCCAGAGGCUGACAAAUUCUAAGCACUCUGCUACUAAGAGGUGUUCCCAACACUGUGUUUCCAUUUCUAGAGAUGGGAAGACUGAGAGUUAUGGAGGUGCUGUGCAGAUGUGUCUGGAAACUGCUGUACUGGGCAAACACCACACUCUGGCAAAUACUCUUGCUGUGUGGGCUGAGCUCAUCAGUUCUUGCUGCCCCAGCAUGUUGCUGACACUCUUCUUCUGUUCCGGGCAAGUUGAUCUAAUGAAAGCAUGCAGCAGAAAAGGAGAACCUUGUGAUGACCUUCUGGGGCCACCAAGUCCUAGAUAGAGCAGCAGUCAGUGUUAGAACUUGUGACUCAUGAGGAUGGGAACUGAGGUCUUUGUCCUCCAAUCUGGAGACGACAUCAGGCCACCAGUCUGCAAAUGUGUCUCUAGAUUUCAGGUAUAUGCUGAGCAGACUCUUCAUGUCAGAAGAUAAUGGAAGUUCUAAUUCAUAACUGAACCAAGGACUGCAGAUGGCAUCAUUGCCUACUGGAAAACUAGUUGCUGGUGUGUGUGAAGCCUGUGUGCCGUCCCCAGCACAACAAAACAAUAUCAGAACAAGACAAAAUGAUGGCAAAUGAACCCAAGUUUUCACGUCUUGAAAGGAAACAUUGCCAAUAUAGUAGGAUGCGCCUGGAACUCGGGAACACUUGGGAGACAGAAGGAUUUCCAUGAGUUCAAAUCCAGCCUGGGUUAUGGAGUGAUUUCAAGGCUAGCCUGAGCUAGAGAACAGGACCCUGAUUCAAAAAUUAACAAGUAAAAAUAAUAAAUAAAAGAAAGUCAAUUUUACUUUACAAAUUAACAUCUGUGGAUGUCAUUUUAGAAAUAGGUUUAAAGGGAACUGCCUGCAGAAUAGAGUACAAAUGAAAAGAACACUAAGAGUAAACACAGAUUUUUUUUUUAAAUGUUUAUUUUGGCAAAUUUUUGUCAACAUGAUGGAGAUAGCCUUCUGUAAAAUAGUUAUCUACUCAUUGAGUACAGCAGGUACAUUUUGAGGCUUCAAGUUUUUGUUACUUUCUAUAAAAAUACAUUGCUUUUUGUUUUGUUUCUUUAUUUGGAUCUGGAUCUCCCUAUGUAGCCCAGGUUGACCUCAAACUCACCAUUUUUUGCCGACUUUUCACAUGCUGCUGACAUGGCAAGAAUGUGCCACUACAUUCCCUUAAGGUAAUUCUUCACUCGUGCAUAUACACACCCCACACUACCCACCCUGCUUUUGGCUAUAAAUGUAAAUGAUGUGCUAUUGAUUACCUAGGGCACUUCCAACGACUUGCGAAGGAAAGUGUAUUGAUUUUCAAAAGGCUCCAACAUGGCACUGAAUCAUGAAAGGUAGAAUGGAUGUUAUAUAGUCCUCUGUUCUCUAAAGUAAGAGUAAAGAUAUUCCUUUUACUUCAAGUGAUGAAGAAAGUUAGUUGGCUUAAUUAGAUAGAUGUGUGGCUUUGGGGGCAACAACACAUUUAUUUUCACAUAGCGUGAAAUAAAGGAGAGGGAGAAAAACUCUUCUAGGUAGAAAAAAAUGCUAUAAAAUUCUCAGAAACAUUUUUGCGUAGAAUAAUACCAAGAACAAUUGACUCUUUUCUUCCUAAAAUUACUAAUCCAGAAAAUACACCAGGAAGACUUUCCCUCCACUAUAAGAAUGUGUCUUCAUAUUUGCAGUGGAAACCAUAGAUUGUAGUUUCUGAGAAACAUGAACGACCAUGAGGAACAGUUCUUUUCCUGACAGAAUGUUACAGCGCAGAAAUGCAUAUGAGAAAAGAUAUGGGGAAUAUUAUGCACUUUGUGCACGAAAUAAAAGAGUUGUG